AUGAGAAAACUGUUUCUUGUGGAGACCUCUCCAUGGAAUUGUUGCAGUGGGGGGUUCAGUUUGCUAGCUAAGUUAGAGGGUUUUGUGUUUGCUUUUCCCUUUCAGUGCUUCUGCUGCCACGGCCGAAUCUUCCGCCGGGCUGGCCGACUAACCCCCCGCGGCUGUGCCUGUCGUUUCCGCUGGGUCCAUCCCGGCCCUGCGCCUCUGCCAGGCCCGGCCCCACUGCGUUCCCCCCGCGCUGCCGCGGGACACCGGACCCGGCCCUGCCCCACCACGCUGUGCUCCCCUGCCACCCGGCGCCGCUUCCCGUUGGUCCCGCUGGCCCCACACUGCUCCCGGAGGGACUGCAAGUACGAGAAAGCACCGCCGAAGUGCAAGCGCCGCUCCGUGCCAUGCGUUUCCUGUGUCCCAGCCAAAGCAGUUUGGUCGGCUCGGUUUCACCCCCUCUCCCCCGCGCCUCCACCCCGCUGUUCCCUGCCGAUGGAAAUCCCAGAAUCCUCGGAAGUUAGAGAAUUCCCACGUCUGUUACCUCUUAUCUUAACCUGUAUGUACCGGAUUUGUAGAAAGGUUAUAUGCCCACCAGCUCUAUUUCCUAACUGGUCUUCCCGACUUCCAAUCCCCCGAGGCGUUAACCCUUUAAAAGGACAGUCAAACCCCCGUCCUUUGUCCUUUCUUCUGGCUUUACCGUUGCAGAAUAAAUCUGUGAAUUGCAAAAUGGAAGAAAAGUCCCCCCUGCUCUUUUGCCUGACCCAUGGACUCGUGUUCAAAGUGAGACAGAGAGCUCUGAUCCGGGCCAGGACUCAAACAGUAGCCCUGGCAGGGCCCCUCCAGGCACCGAGCUGGAGAGAAGAAUUAUCUGAGCUAGCCUGGGAACCUCUGGCUGGAGUCAUGGAAGAGUGGUGUAAUCAAUCUGCCAGGCCUCUCCAUAUUUAUAUUUUGAUCAUUGCCCCUCAUACCACAGGGGCUUUACCCACUUGGCCCUGCUUGACUGCAGUGCAUAAACGUUUCAUAGUCAUGGAUGACAGGUCACAACCGGGAGAUUGUGUCCAUGGUUAA
This 1056-nucleotide long non-coding RNA is filed under the name Parus major (Great Tit). RNAcentral's name for it is "lncRNA (ENSPMJG00000001395.1)". The record is from RNAcentral. Lineage: Eukaryota; Metazoa; Chordata; Aves; Passeriformes; Paridae.